CCUCCACCUCUCUCCACCUCUCUACAUCUCUCUCUCUCUCUCUCUCUCUAUACCGAAUCGCUGUCCGACUCUGGUAGGUGCGAUUUCCUCUGUGUCUCCCGACGUGAAGCAGCUAGCAAACCCUAAAACGUUCUCUACUUCCCAGAUUCAUCAACCUCUCUCCCUCUUCCUAUGGCUCCCACACGGACGCGGUGCUUUUUAGCUAAAGCGGGCUCUUUUUUUAGCUCCUCGCUGAUCGCAGCGGCCCCGAGUGCCCGUGCGAUGAGUUCGGGUCGUCAGGAGCCGGCAUGAGGUCGAUCUUCUGCUGAAACAAUGGCGUCUUUUCAAUCUCCAGCUGCCCCGCGAAAGAAAGCAGCUGAAAGGCUGUCUCAUAAAACCGAAGUCGUCUAUGUACAUGAAAAUUUCCAUGCUUGUUCAGCAGAAAAUGAUGCAUUUUUCGCAUAAUAACUUCUUGCUGGAGAUUCCAGCAUAAAGUUCGCAUACUUUUUCUGCUUGAAAGUCCGCCAAUCUUCAGAAAGUUUCAUGUACAUAAGCGAGUUUGGCGUCUAGAGUCGCUAACAAUUCCGUAAACCCAAUGUAACAGGGACAUGGAGGGAUUGUGAUUGGACAUCAUCGCAAUGUUGGCUCUUUUGGUGAGAGACAGUGAAUUGGUCCUCUGAAUCACACACUGCAUUUAUCGUUUCGAAGUAAUGGACUCUUAUCAAGCUCUUACUUAAGUGUAAGUCGCAAAUUCUCUUUCUUUGGUGUUUUGCUGGAGAUUAUCAUAAUGAGCUUUCUUCACGGUUUCCUGUUCGGAUUGUCUCAGUCUUUCAUAUAUUAAUGCUGAGAUGACUAUCAUCUGUCCUUUGGAGUUUGCAUGCUGCAAUUUAGUGUUGAUUUUUGAGAGUUGAUUUACUUAACAUCAUCGUUUUCAUUGCAUUUUAAACGAAGGCAAUACGUAAACAUGUUAUUUUCAUGUCAGAAGUGCACAGCUUUUCAUGUCGACGGUGAGGAAAAUGUUUGUGUCUGACAGUAUAGUAAGCUCAGGAGCUUCUUUUUUGGGUUUGCUGAUGCUGAGUGCUAGCAUACUAUGUCCUUAUUCAAAUACUUUUGCAUCGGUUCCCGUUUGCUUAUAGCACAAUGUUUUGGCUGUUUUAUCUAGUGAAUGAAGAUUACUUUCGAUGCUAAGGUGCUGCCAAAUUAAAAUGCCAUGUUUGUUCAUCCUCAUUCAGAUCUGGUGUUAAAAAUUAAGCUUGUGGAUAUGGAGCUUUACUAGUAGCUGUUUUAAGAUGCUCUUAUGACCUUUCAUUCACCAAAGACUCCGAAACAUACAGUUCCUGGAUAUAUCAGCUCUGCCAAAAAAAUAAAAUAAAAAUAAAAAUAAAGGAAAAGUGGUAGAUACAUCCCUUUAAGGAUCUCCAAAAAUAUUAACUACAUAGCAUAACUUAGUAAUUCUCUUAUUCAAUUUAAUUUCACCUAUACAAAAGUCCUCCAUCACAUAUAACUAAGGUUUAUUUAACUGAUCAUUUUCAAAUUUGAGUAUUUUACUUAAUAGUAUGUGGUAUACCACUUGUCGGUUGCAGAAGCAUGACUUUGUAAUGCCCUUGCCACAUCCUUGGAUUGAUAUGAACUGAGUAAUAUCCGCGUGGGGUUGAUUUGUCCUUUUUGCUAGUGCAACUGUAAUCUGCUGCAGUUAUGAUGAAAAAGUGAUUUCUGUUUGAUUGAAGUUAACUGAGACAACCACUUUUGGUGCGGAGGAAUGGAAAGGGAACGGAAUGGACAUAGUUGCAAUGUAAAACAGUUCUAUUUAUGUCCCUUCCUCCCAAGAUGUUUUCAUUCCUUCGUACUAAAUGUGGCAUUUUGAGUAAUUAAAGUUGUAUGGAGGAAUACAUACGCCAGGUUCGUAGAUCUUCUUGUUGUCUCAUAAUUUUGUUGCUCUGGUUGGCUAAGCUGGAGAUUGACAGGUAAAUGAGAGUCCUCUCCGAUGUCUAGACCAUUGGUGAGCUGAUUCCUGUCAGUUCCGUUCGCGUCCCUUGUUCCGUAAACCUGGGAAUGCGAAAUUUUUCUCUGAGGCUGAUUAUAAAACUUUUGACCAUAUUGCAUGAUCAUCCAUAAUUAGCUAAAAUUUUAUUUGUUUUUAAAUCAGUACCUUCUUGUACAAUUCCAUGUUUUCUUGGCGAAUAAUGUUUACCUUCUUAUACAACUCCACGUUUUCCUGGUGAAUGACGUUCCCCUGCAAGAAGAGAAGUAAAGUUAUUAUUUCAUCCGAAUAAAGAAAUGAUCUGAUACUGGUAUAUCUGUCCUGGGGUUGACCUUCCUGCUCAGUUCUUGUAUGUCAUCCAUUAACACUUGGUCCUACAAAGGUCAGAUGUUGCACUUGUCAUUCAGAGUACUAUGUGGAAGCACUUAUAAUACAGCAUAUGUGUAUCCUAAAGGCAUUUAGACUUGAACCUUUUUCAUUCGAACACCACGAAGGCUCAUCUCCAAUUGAUUCUCCAGAUUCUGUAGGUCCUUCACACAAAGCCCCGAGAGCUCUUCUCCCAUGAUUUGCCUGUUAUUUGGUUUGUAAUUUCUCAAGGAUAUGAAUUCUGGUGUAGCUUAACUAUGAGAAACAUACGUCUUAUAUCAGCUUACAAUGCAGUUUUCAGCAAGUAGAGGCAAGGCAAGCCUAAAAUUUUCUAUGUUAGCCAAGCAUGGCAGUUUAGGUCUAGGGUGGGCCUUUCUAGGUUACUAGUAUAAAAAAUGGCAGUUGUUUAAAAUCCAUCUGUUUGAAAUUCUCUAUGUCUGCACUUUCAGAAAUAUUAUUAAUUUCAGGAACUUUUCAUCACUGUAACUUAAGUAUGGGGGGAGAUACUACUUCAGAUGGUCAAA
This is a non-coding RNA of Punica granatum (pomegranate), 2850 nucleotides long. Lineage: Eukaryota; Viridiplantae; Streptophyta; Magnoliopsida; Myrtales; Lythraceae. The record is from RefSeq and is a predicted model, not a curated record.